Geobacteraceae bacterium GWC2_55_20 is the source of this 99-nucleotide non-coding RNA. Lineage: Bacteria; Pseudomonadati; Thermodesulfobacteriota; Desulfuromonadia; Geobacterales; Geobacteraceae. The record is from Rfam.
AGCCGGGCCCCGCGCAACGGCGCGCCGUGAACUCCGCCAGGUCCGGAAGGAAGCAACGGCAGCGGCUCCCGCUGUGUGCCGCGGGUCAGCCCGGCUAUC